GAUUUAUAAAGAAGCGGGGAGAGAUCAGGCUCUGUGAACCGCUGGCAACCUACCACAUGGCAAGGUGCUAACUCCUGCCUAAAGUUAUUUAGGGACUAUAAAUC
Spirosoma sp. 48-14 is the source of this 104-nucleotide non-coding RNA. The record is from Rfam. Lineage: Bacteria; Pseudomonadati; Bacteroidota; Cytophagia; Cytophagales; Cytophagaceae.